UUUAGACUUGCGGAGAGUCAUUUUUUGAAAGAAAGACAGACACUUUCUGCUAUGGACUUUGGAGGUUGUCAUGGUUUUCAUCAUGACUCAUCCUUCCAGAUGCUCAAGUAACGCAAACAUAAACUAUAUGGAUUGCAACAAGUCAGCUAGAGCAAUGCAGUCUCACAUUUCUGACAGAGGCUGCUCGUUGCUGGAGUGGGAUUGGAAGAAACACUGGGUCACCCUACCUGACACA
Long non-coding RNA from Electrophorus electricus (electric eel), 235 nucleotides. RefSeq lists it as uncharacterized. Lineage: Eukaryota; Metazoa; Chordata; Actinopteri; Gymnotiformes; Gymnotidae. The record is from RefSeq and is a predicted model, not a curated record.